Molecule: ribosomal RNA, 601 nt
Filed under: uncultured bacterium
Lineage: Bacteria
Description: bacterial SSU rRNA
Rfam family: Bacterial small subunit ribosomal RNA (bases 1-522)
Source: RNAcentral
CCUACGGGAGGCAGCAGUGGGGAAUCUUGCGCAAUGGGCGAAAGCCUGACGCAGCAACGCCGCGUGCGGGAAGAAGGCUUUCGGGCUGUAAACCGCUUUCAGCAGGAACGAAAAUGACGGUACCUGCAGAAGAAGGAGCGGCCAACUAUGUGCCAGCAGCCGCGGUGAUACAUAGGCUUCAAGCGUUGUCCGGAUUUAUUGGGCGUAAAGAGUUCGUAGGCGGUCGAGUAAGUCGGGUGUGAAAAUUCUGGGCUCGAACCCCAGAGACGCCACCCGAUACUGCUUGACUUGAGUUCGAUAGGGGAGUGGGGAAUUCCUAGUGUAGCGGUGAAAUGCGCAGAUAUUAGGAGGAACACCGGUGGCGAAGGCGCCACUCUGGAUCGAUACUGACGCUGAGGAACGAAGCAUGGGUAGCAAACAGGAUUAGAUACCCUGGUAGUCCAUGCCGUAAACGGUGGGCACUAGGUGUGGGUUUCUAUUAACGAAAUCCGCGCCGUCGCUUAACGCAUUAAGUGCCCCGCCUGGGGUAGGUACGGUCGCGAGACGUAACUACAAGAAGUAGACGCGNGAGACGUGCGACGACGACGACGAGGGAGGUAGG